RNAcentral lists this ribosomal RNA (607 nucleotides) under Chrysis leptomandibularis. RNAcentral describes it as "eukaryotic LSU rRNA". Lineage: Eukaryota; Metazoa; Arthropoda; Insecta; Hymenoptera; Chrysididae. The record is from RNAcentral.
AAACCGUUCAGGAGUAAACCUGAGAAACCCAAAAGUUCGAACGGGGAGAUUCACCGUCAGCGGAGCAGGCUUCGCGGAGGUGCGUGAUGUCGCGGCGACCUCGGUCGCGCUUCACUCGUCCUCUGCGCAUGUCCGGCGACGUCGGCGUGCACUUCUCCUCUAGUAGGACGUCGCGACUCGUUGGGUGCCGGCCUAUGGCCUCGGGGUGCUGCCCGUCGCGCCGCUUCGGCGCGCGCGAUGAACCCCCGGGCGCCCGACGGUACGCACAACGGUAUCGGGCCGCCAUUAUUCGACAAGGCGUCGGGCCCGCCGCAAGAGAGUCAGGAUUUCGAAAAGCCGGUGGUAAGUCGGACCUAGCGCCGUCCCCCGACUUGACACUCUGCUGGCCGGCGUGGACCUCCGACGGGCCGAAACGUGAACGAUCAGCGACGCUAUUGCUUUGGGUACUCUCAGGACCCGUCUUGAAACACGGACCAAGGAGUCUAACAUGUACGCGAGUCAUUGGGGGUCACCGAGGGAGGAUGGGCCGCGUCACGAUGCGGUUCCGCACUCCCGGGGCGCCUCGUUCUCAUUGCGAGAUGAGGCGCACCCAGAGCGUACACGUUGG